AGCCCCUUGCCAUGCAGAUGGCAUUCAAGUACUUCUCACAACAUCCGAGGCAAUCCCAGGGCCCUUCUGAAAUUGUUCCCCGAAUAAUGUCAAUAGCAACGACUUCUUCCAGUGUCAGUUGCUGAACCCGAAGGCAGAGAAAGACAGCGCCAGCCUCUCUUAACACUCUACAUUCUAAUCAGGUCUGUGCUUUGACCUAUGAUUUCUACACCCUGCAUAGAGAAGUAAAUGAGAAGAGGGAUCAAAAGCCAGAGCAAGAGAUGUCUUGAGAUCUUUAUCCACCCUGAAUCUCCCUUCUUUAGAGAAGGGCACAUGCGGGAGGGAAGAGAGGAAGGAGAACUUCUAAAGAUCCCCUAGUUAUAUACAUGCAGCAACUCCCCACUCUGUCUCUGGACAAAAGCACCAUCAUCAUCCCCACGGAUCAGCAAAAAUGACCCUCGGUCUCUGGACAGCCAAACACAUGAAAUGCUUGAGCACGUAGCACUGGAGGGAACAAAGCUGGAGGCAGGCAAUGGUCUGGGUGGGUGAACAAGGAAAUAACUGAGUGGAGAAAAACAGAACAAUCUGGGAAGAAUGAGAAACAGACACUACACAUUACAAGGAGCUGAAACCCAUGCUCCGCCCUGCCUCCUUCCGAGUAUAUUCCUAAUCAGUCCUUUCCUCUCAAUUUCCGAAGUAGAGAUGUUGAAGAGAAAACCUUAAAAUGCUGAACGCUGCGGGUGGUUGGUGAACCAGAUUUAAAGACAGCAACAGCAGCCAGAAAAUUACAGCUACAAGGUGAAAAAUUAAGCGCUGAAACAAAUUCAGUUCACCACGCAAAGCUGAACUUGAUAGUUUCUUAAAGAAAGAUCAAGUGACAAGCAAAUGAAUCUGGUUUCCUAAUCCCCCUGGGAUUUUCCUUAAGAUGCCAUGAGUCCCUGAGAUGCUCAAUUUGCUUACAAUUAAACAGCAUUAGAAGACUAGAAACCUUCACACCCAGCCAUCAGGGGUCGGGGAGAAUUGGAGGAAGGAUCCACUUUCCGACCCUAUCAGACAACGAUGGACAUCUUUAGAGAUCAAUGUCACAAGACAAAGUCCCUAUGGGGUUGUAACUAUUAGAACACUUAUUCUCUUGGGUGAAUAAAGGAGUGAAAUGAUAGAAGAGGUUUAAUUAU
Molecule: long non-coding RNA, 1154 nt
Filed under: Sus scrofa (pig)
Lineage: Eukaryota; Metazoa; Chordata; Mammalia; Artiodactyla; Suidae
Description: lncRNA (ENSSSCG00070024277.1)
Source: RNAcentral